Molecule: transfer RNA, 73 nt
Filed under: Stegodyphus mimosarum
Lineage: Eukaryota; Metazoa; Arthropoda; Arachnida; Araneae; Eresidae
Rfam family: tRNA
About the family: Transfer RNA (tRNA) molecules are approximately 80 nucleotides in length.
Source: Rfam by way of RNAcentral
GCCUUGGUGGUGUAUUGGUGAGCACGCUCGACGCGUAAUCCAGAGGUCCGUGGUUCGAUUCCCGGCAAGGGCA